ACGCUGGCGGCGUGCUUAACACAUGCAAGUCGAACGAUGAAGCCGCUUCGGUGGUGGAUUAGUGGCGAACGGGUGAGUAACACGUGGGCAAUCUGCCCUUCACUCUGGGACAAGCCCUGGAAACGGGGUCUAAUACCGGAUAAUACUCCUGCCUGCAUGGGUGGGGGUUGAAAGCUCCGGCGGUGAAGGAUGAGCCCGCGGCCUAUCAGCUUGUUGGUCAGGUAAUGGCCUACCAAGGCGACGACGGGUAGCCGGCCUGAGAGGGCGACCGGCCACACUGGGACUGAGACACGGCCCAGACUCCUACGGGAGGCAGCAGUGGGGAAUAUUGCACAAUGGGCGAAAGCCUGAUGCAGCGACGCCGCGUGAGGGAUGACGGCCUUCGGGUUGUAAACCUCUUUCAGCAGGGAAGAAGCGCAAGUGACGGUACCUGCAGAAGAAGCGCCGGCUAACUACGUGCCAGCAGCCGCGGUAAUACGUAGGGCGCAAGCGUUGUCCGGAAUUAUUGGGCGUAAAGAGCUCGUAGGCGGCUUGUCACGUCGGAUGUGAAAGCCCGGGGCUUAACCCCGGGUCUGCAUUCGAUACGGGCUAGCUAGAGUGUGGUAGGGGAGAUCGGAAUU
Molecule: ribosomal RNA, 620 nt
Filed under: Streptomyces sp.
Lineage: Bacteria; Bacillati; Actinomycetota; Actinomycetes; Kitasatosporales; Streptomycetaceae
Description: bacterial SSU rRNA
Rfam family: Bacterial small subunit ribosomal RNA
Source: RNAcentral